GAAAUGCCGACGUGCAGCGAUUUAAACAUUUUUGAAAAUGCCAAAUGUUAUUUACAACGUUAUUGAAUGAGUAUGGAUGGUUCGGGCAUGUAAUUUAGGCUUAUUCUAUAGGCGCAUGAGAGAUCAUUUUGUGGUGCUGUACCCUGGAAGAUCUAUUCCAUCCGUGUCUACAAUUAAAUCUGUUGUUGAGAGAUUCCAAAAAGAUGGAAAUGCCAAUCUAGGUUUGGUGCCCGUUCAUUACCCAAGUAGAGCUUUUCCAGAGAAAGUAAGACUAGCGAUUUGCAUGUCCGUUAUUGAAAAAUUCAGAAUUU
Molecule: long non-coding RNA, 311 nt
Filed under: Androctonus crassicauda
Lineage: Eukaryota; Metazoa; Arthropoda; Arachnida; Scorpiones; Buthidae
Source: RNAcentral